This 184-nucleotide non-coding RNA is filed under the name Anaerolineae bacterium. Its description in RNAcentral is "MoCo sequence". It matches the Rfam family "Molybdenum/Tungsten riboswitch aptamer (Moco RNA motif)". The record is from RNAcentral. Lineage: Bacteria; Bacillati; Chloroflexota; Anaerolineae.
AUCGCAUCAUCUCUCCGAAGCCUGUCCGCCUACUGUACCGCGAAUUUCAAUUCGCCCAAACAACGGCGCACAGGACUGUACCGCAAAAUUCAUUUUGCGAUACCAGGUAAAAGUGGAAACGCUUUUGCCCCCCGCCCUCACCCUGUCCCUCUCCCGGAGGGAGAGGGGAAGCAUUUGGAAAGGA